Long non-coding RNA from Xiphophorus hellerii (green swordtail), 246 nucleotides. RefSeq lists it as uncharacterized. The transcript is spliced from 2 exons. NCBI's taxonomy places the organism in Eukaryota, Metazoa, Chordata, Actinopteri, Cyprinodontiformes, Poeciliidae. The record is from RefSeq and is a predicted model, not a curated record.
GCUGUUACUGCCUUUGUUGCUCUUUUGCUUCCAGAGACUUUUAAGCAACCGCUGCCUGAAACCCUUCAACAAAUGCAUGAAAGACAAAGGACAAAAUGUCCCUGCAUCCAAAAAACUGAAGCCUCAGAACCAGUUGUGUUACCAGACAGUCCUCUGUGACUGAGUGUUGCUGGUUCAGCCUUAAAUUCAGUUUUUUUUAACACUUCCAGUAGUAAUUUUUUUCUGAAUUACAUUUGACGUCCCACC